UUCCAGUUCUGCAAGCUCCAUCAAUGGCCAACCACAAAAAAAUCAAGCACUGGAAUUGUCAUACAAGACUUUAAAGCAGCCAUGUAAUCAUCUUCCACAAGGUAAAGGUGAAUGCCCUUGAAAUGAAUGGAAAAUCAGAAAUUCUCCACAGAUGAAAAAGGCCCAAAUAGAAACUUCAGAAUUGAAAAAUACAAAAACGUAAUUAACAUAAAACUGAGUGACAUGGUUUGGGUUUGUUCCCACCCAAAUCUCAACUAGAAUUGUAUCUCCCAGAAUUCCUACGUGUUGUGGGAGGGACCCAAUGGGAGGUAAUUGAAUCAUGGGGGCGGUCUUUCCCAUGCUAUUCUCGUGAUAGUGAAUAAGUCUCAAGAGAUCUCAUGGGUUUAUCAGGCGGUUCCGCUUUUGCUGCUUCUUCAUUUUCUCCUGCUGCCGCCAUGUAAGAAAUGCCUUUUGCCUCCCACCAUGAUUCUGAGGCCCCCCAAGCUGUGUGGAAAUGCAACUCAGAAGAGGACUUACAAUUGAAGGCUUUCUGCUAGCAACGCUUUCUGCUAGCAACACACCCUGCAACUGGAGGAACACAUUCUUGAGUCUGGAAGUAGAACCGGGUGCCCCACAGCAUCCGUUAUUCCUACACAUUACACUGGUAAAUUAUUUAUCCUUCAGAAGGUGCUGUCUCGAUUUGCACUCCUCUGUUAUUAAUGGCACUUUUUAAAAACUGAAAUUGUUUUUUUUUACGUAAUUUCUCCAACCACACGGUGAGUGUCUCAUGAGAAAGAAUGUUGUAUUCACCACCACCUAUUUCCUCAGUCUCCACUUUUCGGGCUGAACCCGAGAGCCAGCGUGCAGCGCAGCUGGGGGCGUGACCGACAUGAGAUGAAAACUGCGCAGACUCAGCAACUCAGCCCCAAUAGGAGGGCACGAGCCCCAGCGUCCUCGGUUUCCAUAGUGACAGAGCCUACUUCUGGUCUCUAACCGCCACGGUUUCCCUUCUUAGCUCCGGGCGCACCCAGGAAAGACAAAAAUACGCAUAAGGCCAGCCGUUUGACCCCUUGCUGCGGAAGAUAAAGGGCUCCACUCUAAACGUGGUGAUCCUGGUAAACGCAGGAGUUGGGGGAGCGUGCAAGACCCUGAGAAUUUUCCUUCUUUACCCGCCCCCAGGCCUAGCCCACCCACCUAGACCGCGAUCAGCCCUCCCUUUAUAAGGGGAGUGUGCUCUGGUAUAAGAUUUGUUAGGUGAUUAAAUAUAAAGAAAACCUGUUAACCACCUACCCUACCUUCAAGAAACAUCCCCC
Molecule: long non-coding RNA, 1292 nt
Filed under: Homo sapiens (human)
Lineage: Eukaryota; Metazoa; Chordata; Mammalia; Primates; Hominidae
Description: HSALNT0251209
Source: RNAcentral